This 1372-nucleotide ribosomal RNA is filed under the name uncultured bacterium. Its description in RNAcentral is "bacterial SSU rRNA". It matches the Rfam family "Bacterial small subunit ribosomal RNA", at positions 28 to 1381 of the family's 1533-position model. The record is from RNAcentral.
GAUGAACGCUGGCGGCGUGCCUAAUACAUGCAAGUCGAGCGAACGGACGAGAAGCUUGCUUCUCUGAUGUUAGCGGCGGACGGGUGAGUAACACAUGGAUAACCUACCUAUAAGACUGGGAUAACUUCGGGAAACCGGAGCUAAUACCGGAUAAUAUUUUGAACCGCAUGGUUCAAAAGUGAAAGACGGUCUUGCUGUCACUUAUAGAUGGAUCCGCGCUGCAUUAGCUAGUUGGUAAGGUAACGGCUUACCAAGGCAACGAUGCAUAGCCGACCUGAGAGGGUGAUCGGCCACACUGGAACUGAGACACGGUCCAGACUCCUACGGGAGGCAGCAGUAGGGAAUCUUCCGCAAUGGGCGAAAGCCUGACGGAGCAACGCCGCGUGAGUGAUGAAGGUCUUCGGAUCGUAAAACUCUGUUAUUAGGGAAGAACAUAUGUGUAAGUAACUGUGCACAUCUUGACGGUACCUAAUCAGAAAGCCACGGCUAACUACGUGCCAGCAGCCGCGGUAAUACGUAGGUGGCAAGCGUUAUCCGGAAUUAUUGGGCGUAAAGCGCGCGUAGGCGGUUUUUUAAGUCUGAUGUGAAAGCCCACGGCUCAACCGUGGAGGGUCAUUGGAAACUGGAAAACUUGAGUGCAGAAGAGGAAAGUGGAAUUCCAUGUGUAGCGGUGAAAUGCGCAGAGAUAUGGAGGAACACCAGUGGCGAAGGCGACUUUCUGGUCUGUAACUGACGCUGAUGUGCGAAAGCGUGGGGAUCAAACAGGAUUAGAUACCCUGGUAGUCCACGCCGUAAACGAUGAGUGCUAAGUGUUAGGGGGUUUCCGCCCCUUAGUGCUGCAGCUAACGCAUUAAGCACUCCGCCUGGGGAGUACGACCGCAAGGUUGAAACUCAAAGGAAUUGACGGGGACCCGCACAAGCGGUGGAGCAUGUGGUUUAAUUCGAAGCAACGCGAAGAACCUUACCAAAUCUUGACAUCCUUUGACAACUCUAGAGAUAGAGCUUUCCCCUUCGGGGGACAAAGUGACAGGUGGUGCAUGGUUGUCGUCAGCUCGUGUCGUGAGAUGUUGGGUUAAGUCCCGCAACGAGCGCAACCCUUAAGCUUAGUUGCCAUCAUUAAGUUGGGCACUCUAAGUUGACUGCCGGUGACAAACCGGAGGAAGGUGGGGAUGACGUCAAAUCAUCAUGCCCCUUAUGAUUUGGGCUACACACGUGCUACAAUGGACAAUACAAAGGGCAGCGAAACCGCGAGGUCAAGCAAAUCCCAUAAAGUUGUUCUCAGUUCGGAUUGUAGUCUGCAACUCGACUACAUGAAGCUGGAAUCGCUAGUAAUCGUAGAUCAGCAUGCUACGGUGAAUACGUUCCCGGGUCU